AAAACUUUUAACAACGGAUCUCUUAGUUCUAGCAUCGAUAAAGAACGUAGCCAAAUGCGAUAAGUAAUGUAAAUUAUAGAAUUUAGUAAAUCAUCGAAUCUUUAAACGCAUAUUACGCCCUUUAGUAUUCUAAAGGGCAUGCCUAUUUGAGCGUUAUU
This 158-nucleotide ribosomal RNA is filed under the name Pseudocercospora cratevicola. RNAcentral describes it as "5.8S ribosomal RNA". It matches the Rfam family "5.8S ribosomal RNA". Rfam says of the family: 5.8S ribosomal RNA (5.8S rRNA) is a component of the large subunit of the eukaryotic ribosome. It is transcribed by RNA polymerase I as part of the 45S precursor that also contains 18S and 28S rRNA. The record is from RNAcentral. Lineage: Eukaryota; Fungi; Ascomycota; Dothideomycetes; Mycosphaerellales; Mycosphaerellaceae.